RNAcentral lists this non-coding RNA (21 nucleotides) under Arabidopsis thaliana (thale cress). The record is from RNAcentral. Lineage: Eukaryota; Viridiplantae; Streptophyta; Magnoliopsida; Brassicales; Brassicaceae.
UGCUGUAUGUUAUGAUAUCGG